UCUCCGUAGGUGAACCUGCGGAGGGAUCAUUACUGAGUGAGGGUCUCCGGGCCCGACCUCCAACCCUUUUGUGAACCACCUCGUUGCUUCGGGGGCGACCCUGCCGUCCGCGGCUGAGCGCCCCCGGGGUCAAUCAAACACUGCAUUCUCUGCGUCGGAGUUAAAGUAAAUUAAACAAAACUUUCAACAACGGAUCUCUUGGUUCCAGCAUCGAUGAAGAACGCAGC
This 227-nucleotide unclassified non-coding RNA is filed under the name uncultured fungus. RNAcentral describes it as "sequence contains ITS1, 5.8S rRNA gene". The stretch from base 179 to 227 matches the Rfam family "5.8S ribosomal RNA", at positions 1 to 49 of the family's 154-position model. The record is from RNAcentral. Lineage: Eukaryota; Fungi.